AGAGUUUGAUCCUGGCUCAGGAUGAACGCUGGCGGCGUGCCUAAUACAUGCAAGUCGAACGGGGAGUAUUAAUUUCGAUUUUUACUCCUAGUGGCGAACGGGUGAGUAACGCGUUGGUGACCUGCCCCGAAGAGGGGGAUAACUCCGCGAAAGCGGAGCUAAUACCCCAUGUGGUCGUACAGGUUAGAGGCUGAACGACUAAAGGAGCAAUCCACUUCGGGAGGGGCCUGCGUCCCAUCAGCUAGUUGGUAAGGUAACGGCCUACCAAGGCGAUGACGGGUAGGGGGCCUGAGAGGGUGGUCCCCCACACUGGCACUGAAACACGGGCCAGACACCUACGGGUGGCAGCAGUAGGGAAUAUUGCACAAUGGGCGAAAGCCUGAUGCAGCAACGCCGCGUGCGCGGAAGAAGGCUUCGGGUUGUAAAAGGCUUUUUCUGGAGGAAGAGGAAGGACGGUACUCCCAGGAAUAAGGAUCGGCAACUACGUGCCAGCAGCCGCGGUAACACGUAGGAUCCGAGCGUUAUCCGAAUUUACUGGGCGUAAAGCGCGUGUAGGCGGCCGGGUAAGUUGGACGUGAAAGCUCCUGGCUCAACUAGGAGAGGUCGUUCAAAACUGCCUGGCUAGAGGCGCGAGAGAGGGAGGUAGAAUUCCACGUGUAGCGGUGAAAUGCGUAGAUAUGUGGAGGAAUACCGGUGGCGAAGACGGCCUCCUGGCUCGACACUGACGCUGAGGUGCGAAAGCGUGGGGAGCAAACAGGAUUAGAUACCCUGGUAGUCCACGCCGUAAACGAUGUCAACUAGCCGUUGGAGGGCUUGUACUCCUUAGUGGCGCAGCUAACGCACUAAGUAGACCGCCUGGGGAGUACGGCCGCAAGGUUAAAACUCAAAUGAAUUGACGGGGGCCCGCACAAGCGGUGGAGCAUGUGGUUUAAUUCGAUGCAACGCGAAGAACCUUACCAGGACUUGACAUCCAGAGAAGCUUACUAGAGAUAGUUUGGUGCCUUCGGGAACUCUGAGACAGGUGCUGCAUGGCUGUCGUCAGCUCGUGUUGUGAAAUGUUGGGUUAAGUCCCGUAACGAGCGCAACCCUUAUCCUUAUUUGCCAGCAUAUUAUGGUGGGAACUCUAAGGACCGGAGGAAGGUGGGGACGACGUCAAGUCAUCAUGGCCCUUACGACCUGGGCUACACACGUGCUACAAUGGAGCGCACAGAGGGCAGCAAACCCGCGAGGGGGAGCGAAUCCCAGAAAACGUUUCGUAGUCCGGAUUGGAGUCUGCAACUCGACUCCAUGAAGUCGGAAUCGCUAGUAAUCGUGAAUCAGAAUGUCACGGUGAAUACGUUCCCGGGCCUUGUACACACCGCCCGUCACGUCAUGGAAGUUGGCAACACCUGAAGCCGGUAUCCUAACCGCAAGGAUGGAGCCGUCGAAGGUGGGGUUGGUGACUGGGGUGAAGUCGUAACAAGGUAACC
This 1469-nucleotide ribosomal RNA is filed under the name uncultured prokaryote. RNAcentral's name for it is "partial 16S ribosomal RNA". It matches the Rfam family "Bacterial small subunit ribosomal RNA". The record is from RNAcentral.